RNAcentral lists this small RNA (855 nucleotides) under Mycoplasmoides pneumoniae M129. RNAcentral's name for it is "Mycoplasma pneumoniae M129 ncRNA". Lineage: Bacteria; Bacillati; Mycoplasmatota; Mycoplasmoidales; Mycoplasmoidaceae. The record is from RNAcentral.
ACCUGCAUAGCUGUGUAACACCUUUCAGCUAGGGUAAUCAUUUACACCCGCUACUUUGGCUAAUUUCUCUAAUUGCGCUUGGGGUAGUUGCUUUGCUAGAUCAUGGUAAGCACCAGCAGUAUAAGCCGUUUUACCAUCGAGUUUAUUUGCCACUGCUAAAGUUUUAGCUAACUGACCAACGCGCAAACAGUGUUGCAUGCGCGGUUCAUCUAACAGUGUUUGCAAAAUGGUUUUUAGAUAAAUGUUGUGUUGGUGGAUAUAGUGCAACACCUUAGCGGGAAUUUGUCGAAAUUUAUGACUACCAAACAUUUCACUCGAUGCCAAAUCUAAAGGACACUUACCCAACAGUCGGACGUUAAACUGUUGUACCAAUUGUUCAUCAAUUGGAUAACCGAAACGUUCAUAACAGACAAAACGACAAAGUUUUUGUAACUGCUCAAUGUUAUGUCAUUUGGCCAACUCGCUUAAUUUAUCACUGCCAAUUAAAAAGUACAACUCAGCAUUGGGAAAGCGCUGCUUAAAGUGUUGUACUGUAUUGAACGAAAAACCGUUUUGCGCUUUAAUGUCAAAGUUAGAUACUGCCAUCUGAGGCAAUGCUUUUAGCGCAACCCUUAACAUUGCUAAACGUGCUUGAUUAGAUGCUUUAAUCGGUGAUUUAAAAAAGGCUUUAGCAGUUGGUACAAAGUAAAGCUUUUGUGCUUUAAUGGCUUGUACAGCACGCUUAGCAAUGUAGAUAUGCGCUUGGUGGAGGGGAUCAAAUGCACCACCAAAGAUCACUAUUUUUUUUCUCAAAGAGCUUAAAUUGUUUAAUUCUAACUAAAAUAAUCCUGAUAGCUACAGCCAUUUGUGCUGUCC